RNAcentral lists this non-coding RNA (130 nucleotides) under Gambusia affinis (western mosquitofish). The record is from RNAcentral. Lineage: Eukaryota; Metazoa; Chordata; Actinopteri; Cyprinodontiformes; Poeciliidae.
ACGGAGGUAAAGAAAGUGAGGCAAAUGGAGUUUGUUGCCGUCACUGAAACUCGCCUCCAAAAUCAACUAGCAGAGAGAAUAUCCUUGGUUUGGAGUGAAAAACCUUGGAUAGCUGCAUUUGCUUACAAAA